GACGAACGCUGGCGGCGUGCUUAACACAUGCAAGUCGAACGGAAAGGCCCUGCUUUUGUGGGGUGCUCGAGUGGCGAACGGGUGAGUAACACGUGAGUAACCUACCCUUGACUUUGGGAUAACUUCAGGAAACUGGGGCUAAUACCGGAUAGGAGCUCCUGCUGCAUGGUGGGGGUUGGAAAGUUUCGGCGGUUGGGGAUGGACUCGCGGCUUAUCAGCUUGUUGGUGGGGUAGUGGCUUACCAAGGCUUUGACGGGUAGCCGGCCUGAGAGGGUGACCGGCCACAUUGGGAAUGAGAUACGGCCCAGACUCCUACGGGAGGCAGCAGUGGGGAAUAUUGCACAAUGGGCGGAAGCCUGAUGCAGCAACGCCGCGUGCGGGAUGACGGCCUUCGGGUUGUAAACCGCUUUCGCCUGUGACGAAGCGUGAGUGACGGUAAUGGGUAAAGAAGCACCGGCUAACUACGUG
Molecule: ribosomal RNA, 468 nt
Filed under: uncultured bacterium
Lineage: Bacteria
Description: partial 16S ribosomal RNA
Rfam family: Bacterial small subunit ribosomal RNA
Source: RNAcentral